This 347-nucleotide ribosomal RNA is filed under the name uncultured bacterium. RNAcentral's name for it is "partial 16S ribosomal RNA". It matches the Rfam family "Bacterial small subunit ribosomal RNA", at positions 338 to 682 of the family's 1533-position model. The record is from RNAcentral.
CCUACGGGGAGCAGCAGUGAGGAAUAUUGGUCAAUGGGCGCAAGCCGGAACCAGCCAAGUCGCGGGAGGGAUGACGGUCCGAUGGAGUGUAAACCUCUUUUGUCGGGGAGCAAGGCCCGCCACGUGUGGCGGGAAGGAGAGGACCCGAAGAAAAAGCAGCGGCGAACGCCGUGCCAGCAGCCGCGGUAAUACGGAGGAUGCGAGCGUUAUCCGGAUUUCUUGGGGGGAAAGGGGGCGUAGGCGGAAGGUUAAGUCAGCGGUCAAAUGUCGGGGCUCCACACCGGCCUGCCGUUGAAACGGGUCUUCUUGCGUGAGCGAGACGUAUGCGGCCUGCGUGGUGUCGCUGU